AGAGUUCGAUUCUGGCUCAGGAUGAACGCUGGCGGCGUGCCUAACACAUGCAAGUCGAACGGGGCGCGCCGGCGGGGGCCCUCCGGGGCUGAAGCCGGCGCCGCCCAGUGGCGGACGGGUGAGUAACGCGUGGGCAACCUGCCCCGCACUGGGGGACAACAGCCGGAAACGGCUGCUAAUACCGCAUGGGCGCACAGCCCCGCAUGGGGCGGUGCGGAAAGCCUUGGCGGUGCGGGAUGGGCCCGCGUCUGAUUAGCUUGUUGGCGGGGCAACGGCCCACCAAGGCGACGAUCAGUAGCCGGCCUGAGAGGGUGGGCGGCCACAUUGGGACUGAGACACGGCCCAAACUCCUACGGGAGGCAGCAGUGGGGGAUAUUGCACAAUGGGGGGAACCCUGAUGCAGCGACGCCGCGUGGGCGAUGGAGCGCCUCGGCGCGUAAAGCCCUAUCAGCAGGGAAGAAAAUGACGGUACCUGACUAAGAAGCCCCGGCUAAAUACGUGCCAGCAGCCGCGGUAAUACGUAUGGGGCAAGCGUUAUCCGGAUUUACUGGGUGUAAAGGGAGCGCAGGCGGCCUGGCAAGCCUGAUGUGAAAUACCGGGGCCCAACCCCGGGGCUGCAUUGGGAACUGCCAGGCUGGAGUGCCGGAGAGGCAGGCGGAAUUCCUAGUGUAGCGGUGAAAUGCGUAGAUAUUAGGAGGAACACCAGUGGCGAAGGCGGCCUGCUGGACGGUGACUGACGCUGAGGCUCGAAAGCGUGGGGAGCAAACAGGAUUAGAUACCCUGGUAGUCCACGCCGUAAACGAU
This 804-nucleotide ribosomal RNA is filed under the name uncultured bacterium. RNAcentral describes it as "bacterial SSU rRNA". It matches the Rfam family "Bacterial small subunit ribosomal RNA", at positions 8 to 810 of the family's 1533-position model. The record is from RNAcentral.